GCCUCGGUAGCUCAGCGGAUAGAGCAGGAGCCUUCUAAUCUCUUGGCCGCCGGUUCGAGUCCGGCCCGGGGCACAA
Molecule: transfer RNA, 76 nt
Filed under: Arthrobacter alpinus
Lineage: Bacteria; Bacillati; Actinomycetota; Actinomycetes; Micrococcales; Micrococcaceae
Also listed under: 1 other name
Description: tRNA-Arg
Rfam family: tRNA
About the family: Transfer RNA (tRNA) molecules are approximately 80 nucleotides in length. Their secondary structure includes four short double-helical elements and three loops (D, anti-codon, and T loops).
Source: RNAcentral